This 1353-nucleotide ribosomal RNA is filed under the name metagenome. Its description in RNAcentral is "bacterial LSU rRNA". It matches the Rfam family "Bacterial large subunit ribosomal RNA", at positions 1564 to 2925 of the family's 2925-position model. The record is from RNAcentral.
CGAGUACGACCCGUUACGACGGGGAAGUGUCUGAUGUCAGGCUUCCAAGAAAAGCCCGAACCACGUUAAUUCAAAUUGGCCCGUACCCUAAACCGACACAGGUGGGAAGGUAGAGUAUACCCAGGGGCGCGAGAUAACUCUCUCUAAGGAACUCGGCAAAAUGGCCCCGUAACUUCGGGAGAAGGGGUGCCACCGAGAGGUGGUCGCAGUGAAGAGUCCCAGGCGACCGUUUACCAAAAACACAGGUCUCCGCUAAGUCGCAAGACGAUGUAUGGGGGCUGACGCCUGCCCAGUGCCGGAAGGUUAAGGAAGUUGGUCAGGGAGAAAUCCUGAAGCUAGCGACUGAAGCCCCGGUGAACGGCGGCCGUAACUAUAACGGUCCUAAGGUAGCGAAAUUCCUUGUCGGGUAAGUUCCGACCCGCACGAAAGGCGUAACGAUCUGGGAGCUGUCUCGGAGAGAGGCUCGGCGAAAUAGGAAUGUCUGUGAAGAUACGGACUACCUGCACCCGGACAGAAAGACCCUAUGAAGCUUUACUGUAGCUUGGUAUUGGGUUCGGGCUUUGAUUGCGCAGGAUAGGUGGGAGACUAUGAGAUAGCUCUUGUGGGAGUUAUGGAGUCACUGGUGAGAUACCACUCUAUCAAGGCUAGAAUUCUAACUUUGACCCGUUAUCCGGGCAGAGAACAGUAUCAGGUGGGCAGUUUGACUGGGGCGGUCGCCUCCUAAAUGGUAACGGAGGCGCGCAAAGGUUCCCUCAGGCUGGUUGGAAAUCAGCCAUUGAGUGUAAAGGCAUAAGGGAGCUUGACUGCGAGACUGACAAGUCGGGCAGGUACGAAAGUAGGCCUUAGUGAUCCGACGGUUCCGCGUGGAAGGGCCGUCGCUCAACGGAUAAAAGUUACUCUAAGGAUAACAGGCUGAUCUCCCCCAAGAGUUCACAUCGACGGGGAGGUUUGGCACCUCGAUGUCGGCUCAUCGCAACCUGGGGCUGUAGUCGGUCCCAAGGGUUGGGCUGUUCGCCCAUUAAAGCGGUACGUGAGCUGGGUUCAGAACGUCGUGAGACAGUUCGGUCCAUAUCCGGUGCAGGCGUAGGAACAUUGAGAGGAGUCUUCCUUAGUACGAGAGGACCGGGAAGAACGCACCGCUGGUGUACCUGUUAUCGUGCCAACGGUAAACGCAGGGUAGCCAAGUGCGGAGAGGAUAACCGCUGAAAGCAUCUAAGUGGGAAGCCCACCUCAAGAUGAGUGUUCCCAUGGCAAAAGCCAGUAAGGUCACGGGUAGACCACCCGUUAAUAGGCGCUAGAUGGAAGUCCAGCAAUGGAUGUAGUCGAGGCGUACUAACAGACCGAGGGCUUGAC